AACGAACGCUGGCGGCAUGCCUAACACAUGCAAGUCGAACGCCCCGCCAGGGUAGCGGCGGACGGGUGUGUAACGCGUGGGAAUAUGCACUUUUCUACGGAAUCGUCCCGGGAAACUGGGGGUAAUACCUUAUACGCCUAUCGGGUAAAAGAUUUAUCGGCGAAGGAUUAGUCGGCGAUGGAUUAGGUUGUUGGUGGGGUAAUGGCCUACUACGCCGAGGAUCCAUAGCUGGUGUGAGAGCAUGAUCAGCGACACUGAGACUGGGACACGGCCCAGACUCGUAGGGGAGGCGGGAAAGGGUGAUCUAGGACAGUGGGGGCGAUGCAGAACUGGCCCGGGCGGGAGAGUGGUGAAGGCCUUAGAGAUGUAAAGCUCUUUCAGCUGGGAAGUUGAUGACGGUACCAGCAGAAGAAGCACCGGCUAACUCCGUG
This 431-nucleotide ribosomal RNA is filed under the name uncultured bacterium. RNAcentral's name for it is "partial 16S ribosomal RNA". It matches the Rfam family "Bacterial small subunit ribosomal RNA", at positions 29 to 507 of the family's 1533-position model. The record is from RNAcentral.